This 1456-nucleotide ribosomal RNA is filed under the name uncultured Bordetella sp. Its description in RNAcentral is "partial 16S-23S ribosomal RNA intergenic spacer". It matches the Rfam family "Bacterial small subunit ribosomal RNA". Lineage: Bacteria; Pseudomonadati; Pseudomonadota; Betaproteobacteria; Burkholderiales; Alcaligenaceae. The record is from RNAcentral.
AGUUCGAUCAUGGUCAGAUUGAACGCUGGCGGGAUGUUUACACAUGCAAGUCGAAUGGCAGCACGGACUUCGGUCUGGUGGCGAGUGGCGAACGGGUGAGUAAUGUAUCGGAACGUGCCUAGUAGCGGGGGAUAACUACGCGAAAGCGUAGCCAAUACCGCAUACGCCCUUCGGGGGAAAGCGGGGACCUUUCGGGCCUCGCACUAUUAGAGCGGCCGAUAUCGGAUUAGCUAGUUGCGGGGUGAACGCUCACCAAGGCGACGAUCCGUAGCUGGUUUGGGAGGACGACCAGCCACACUGGGACUGAGACACGGCCCAGACUCUACGGAGGCAGCAGUGGGGAAUUUUGGACAAUGGGAAACCGAUCUGAGCCAUCCCGCGUGUGGCAGACGCGAAGGCCUUCUUCGGGUUGUAAAGCACUUUGGCAGGAAAGAAACGGCACGGGAUAAUGCCCGUGCAACUGACGGUACCUUGCAGAAUAAGGUACCGGCUAACUACAAAGCUGCUGCGGCAAUACGUAGGGUGCAAGCGUUAAUCGGAAUUACUGGGCGCAAAGCGUACAGGCGUUCUGAAGAAAGAUGUAAAUCCCAGAGCUAACUUGAACCGGCAUUUUUAACUACCGAGCUAGGUGUCAGAGGGAGGUGUGACUCCUAUGGCAGAAAUGCGUAGAUAUGCGGAGGAACACCGAUGGCGAAGGCAGCCUCCUUAUAAUACUGAUGUCGACACGAAAGCGGAGCAAACAGAUUUAGAUGCACUUGCAGUCCACGUCUCAAACGAUGGUCGACCAGCUGUUGGGGCCUUCGGGGUCUUUGUAGCGCAGCUAAUGUGUUGACUGUUUGGGAGCACGGCUGCAAGAUUAAAACUCAAAGGAACGGAUGGACCGCACAAGCGUGAUGAUGUGGAUUAAUUCGAUGCAACGCGAAAAACCUUACCUACCCUUUGACAUGUUCAAAUCCUUGAAGAGAUUUGGGAGCGUCGCAAGAGAACCGAACACAGGUGCUGCACGGCUGUCGUCAGUCAUGUGUCGAGAUGUUGGGUUAAGUCCUGCAACGAUGUAUAACCCUUGUCAUUAGUUGCUACGAAAGGGCACUCUAUCGAGACUGCCGGUGACAAACCGGGAGGAAGGUGGGGAUGACGUCAAGUCCUCAUGGCCCUUAUGGGUAGGGCUUCACACGUCAUACAAUGGUCGGGACAGAGUAAUGCCAACCCGCGAGGGGGAGCCAAUCCCAGAAACCCGAUCGUGGUCCGGAUCGCAGUCUUCGCAACUCGACUGCGUGAAGUCGGAAUCGCGCUAGUAAUCGCGGAUCAGCAUGUCGCGGUGAAUACGUUCCCGGGUCUUGUACACACCGCCCGUCACACCAUGGGAGUGGGUUUUACCAGAAGUUAUUGCCUUAACUGUAAGGAGGGCGAUUACCACGGUAGGAUUCGCAGAUUUCAGUGAAGUCGUAACAAGGUA